UACGUAGGGAGCGAGCGUUGUCCGGAAUUACUGGGUGUAAAGGGUGCGUAGGCGGGAUGAUAAGUUAGACGUGAAAUCUUGGGGCUCAACCCCAAGCAUGCGUUUAAAACUGUUAUUCUUGAGUGAAGUAGAGGCAAGCGGAAUUCCUAGUGUAGCGGUGGAAUGCGUAGAUAUUAGGAGGAACACCAGUGGCGAAGGCGGCUUGCUGGGCUUUUACUGACGCUGAGGCACGAAAGCGUGGGGAGCAAACAGG
This 253-nucleotide unclassified non-coding RNA is filed under the name uncultured Eubacteriales bacterium. RNAcentral's name for it is "contains 16S-23S intergenic spacer region". It matches the Rfam family "Bacterial small subunit ribosomal RNA", at positions 524 to 776 of the family's 1533-position model. Lineage: Bacteria; Bacillati; Bacillota; Clostridia; Eubacteriales. The record is from RNAcentral.